CCUACGGGUGGCAGCAGUGGGGAAUAUUGCACAAUGGGGGAAACCCUGAUGCAGCGACGCCGCGUGAGUGAAGAAGUAAUUCGUUAUGUAAAGCUCUAUCAGCAGGGAAGAAAAUGACGGUACCUGAGUAAGAAGCCCCGGCUAACUACGUGCCAGCAGCCGCGGUAAUACGUAGGGGGCAAGCGUUAUCCGGAUGUACUGGGUGUAAAGGGAGCGUAGACGGCAGUGCAAGUCUGGAGUGAAAGGCGGGGGCUCAACCCAGUAGGGCAAAAGAUACUGCAAAGCUAGAGUAUGACAGAGGCAAGUGGAACUACAUGUGUAGCGGUAAAAUGCGUAAAUAUAUGUAAGAACACCAGUGGCGAAGGCGGCUUGCUGGGUCGAUACUGACAUUGAGGCACGAAAGCGUGGGGAGCAAACAGGAUUAGAUACCCGAGUAGUC
This 439-nucleotide ribosomal RNA is filed under the name uncultured bacterium. RNAcentral describes it as "partial 16S ribosomal RNA". It matches the Rfam family "Bacterial small subunit ribosomal RNA", at positions 338 to 795 of the family's 1533-position model. The record is from RNAcentral.